UGCGAUACUUGGUGUGAAUUGCAGAAUCCCGUGAACCAUCGAGUCUUUGAACGCAAGUUGCGCCCAAAGCCAUUAGGCUGAGGGCACGCCUGCCUGGGUGUCGCCCAUCGUUGCCCCAGUUCCUUGGCCUCACGCUAGGCACCGAGCUGGGCGAAUGCUGGCUUCCCGUGAGCAAAGCCUCACGGUUGGUUGAAAAUUGAGUCCGUGGUGGGUGGCACCGUGGCGGAUGGUGGUUGAG
This 238-nucleotide ribosomal RNA is filed under the name Crotalaria juncea (sunn hemp). Its description in RNAcentral is "5.8S ribosomal RNA". The stretch from base 1 to 103 matches the Rfam family "5.8S ribosomal RNA", at positions 54 to 154 of the family's 154-position model. The record is from RNAcentral. Lineage: Eukaryota; Viridiplantae; Streptophyta; Magnoliopsida; Fabales; Fabaceae.